This 707-nucleotide long non-coding RNA is filed under the name Olea europaea (common olive). Its description in RNAcentral is "long non-coding RNA (OEUR_LNC001509)". Lineage: Eukaryota; Viridiplantae; Streptophyta; Magnoliopsida; Lamiales; Oleaceae. The record is from RNAcentral.
GUCCCUCUACAAAAGCCAUCAUUAUAUGACUUUGUUUUACCAAAGAAGAGGUCAGCUGCUAGUAAUAGAACUUGCUCUUGAACAAACAAGCACUCAAACAACUAUUAGGAGAUUGUUAAGUAACAUUCCUGAAGAAAGAGGCUGGUCAAUCUUGGACCGUCGAGCUUCAAAAUUUCCAAAGAAUAAGAAUUGCUGAGCAAUAAAACAGAAUAUGAGAUGAAGGUAACAAUGUCUUAGAAUAAAAAAAAUAACACAAAAAUUAAGUUGGACAAAAUAAAACUCAACAUUUAAAGUAAAGCAAAUAUAAAUCAUUGAAAUCAGUUUAGGUAUCAAUCACCCAAACCCUGAAAUUCAAUCUUACUGGCCUGAAAUUGGUUUUUACUGACCUCCUCAAGAUGUUCUCUUGUUAGUUUCUACUAUGUACAGAGUCCGGUCAGUGGUGGUUGCAAGAGGCGAGAGACAGAGAUGUGGAGAAUGAAGAGAUGAAGUUGUGGUGGAUGUGAGAGGCGAGAGGCAGAGGCACGAAAUUGAGGAGUGGAGAAUGGAGAGGCGAAGUUGUGGUGGUGGAAUUCGGCGAGAGAUAGAGGUGAGACUAAGGCGUGGAGAAUGGAGAGGCGAAGUUGUGGUGGUUGAAUUCGGCGAGAGAUAGAGGUGAGACUGAGGUGUGGAGAAUGGAGAGGCGAAGAUGUAAUGCCUGCAACAUUUUU